This 492-nucleotide ribosomal RNA is filed under the name uncultured bacterium. Its description in RNAcentral is "partial 16S ribosomal RNA". It matches the Rfam family "Bacterial small subunit ribosomal RNA", at positions 29 to 507 of the family's 1533-position model. The record is from RNAcentral.
AGUGAACGCUGGCGGUAGGCCUAACACAUGCAAGUCGAACGGCAGCACAGUAAGAGCUUGCUCUUACGGGUGGCGAGUGGCGGACGGGUGAGGAAUACAUCGGAAUCUACAUUUUCGUGGGGGAUAACGUAGGGAAACUUACGCUAAUACCGCAUACGACCUACGGGUGAAAGCAGGGGAUCUUCGGACCUUGCGCGAUUGAAUGAGCCGAUGUCGGAUUAGCUAGUUGGCGGGGUAAAGGCCCACCAAGGCGACGAUCCGUAGCUGGUCUGAGAGGAUGAUCAGCCACACUGGAACUGAGACACGGUCCAGACUCCUACGGGAGGCAGCAGUGGGGAAUAUUGGACAAUGGGCGCAAGCCUGAUCCAGCCAUACCGCGUGGGUGAAGAAGGCCUUCGGGUUGUAAAGCCCUUUUGUUGGGAAAGAAAAGCAGCAGGUUAAUACCCCGCUGUUCUGACGGUACCCAAAGAAUAAGCACCGGUUAACUUCGUG